Molecule: ribosomal RNA, 253 nt
Filed under: uncultured bacterium
Lineage: Bacteria
Description: partial 16S ribosomal RNA
Rfam family: Bacterial small subunit ribosomal RNA
Source: RNAcentral
UACGAAGGGGGCUAGCGUUGUUCGGAAUUACUGGGCGUAAAGCGCGCGCAGGCGGCUAUCCAAGUCAGUGGUGAAAGCCCAGAGCUCAACUCUGGAACUGCCCUUGAAACUGUAUGGCUUGAGUAUGAGAGAGGUGAGUGGAAUUCCCAGUGUAGAGGUGAAAUUCGUAGAUAUUGGGAAGAACACCGGUGGCGAAGGCGGCUCACUGGCUCAUUACUGACGCUCAGGCGCGACAGCGUGGGGAUCAAACAGG